AACCCCGUGGCCGAGUGGCAAGGCAAAGGGCUGCAAAUCCUUUUACGUCAGUUCGAAUCUGACCGGGG
This 68-nucleotide transfer RNA is filed under the name Chitinophagaceae bacterium. RNAcentral describes it as "tRNA-Cys". It matches the Rfam family "tRNA". From Rfam's summary of the family: Transfer RNA (tRNA) molecules are approximately 80 nucleotides in length. Their secondary structure includes four short double-helical elements and three loops (D, anti-codon, and T loops). Further hydrogen bonds mediate the characteristic L-shaped molecular structure. tRNAs have two regions of fundamental functional importance: the anti-codon, which is responsible for specific mRNA codon recognition, and the 3' end, to which the tRNAs corresponding amino acid is attached (by aminoacyl-tRNA synthetases). tRNAs cope with the degeneracy of the genetic code in two manners: having more than one tRNA (with a specific anti-codon) for a particular amino acid; and 'wobble' base-pairing, i.e. permitting non-standard base-pairing at the 3rd anti-codon position. Lineage: Bacteria; Pseudomonadati; Bacteroidota; Chitinophagia; Chitinophagales; Chitinophagaceae. The record is from RNAcentral.